Molecule: ribosomal RNA, 384 nt
Filed under: uncultured bacterium
Lineage: Bacteria
Description: bacterial SSU rRNA
Rfam family: Bacterial small subunit ribosomal RNA
Source: RNAcentral
AAUCAACGCUGGCGGCGUGCCUCAGACAUGCAAGUCGAACGCGAAAGUCCCCUUCGGGGGGCAAGUAGAGUGGCGCACGGGUGAGUAACACGUAGGUAAUCUACCUUUGGAUGGGGAAUAACAACCGGAAACGGUUGCUAAUACCGCAUAAUGCAGCGGCACCUAAUGGUGACAGUUGUUAAAGCGGGGGAUCGAAAGACCUCGCGUCUGAAGAGGAGCCUGCGGCGGAUUAGCUAGNGGUAAGGUAACGGCUUACCAAGGCGACGAUCCGUAGCCGGCCUGAGAGGGCGGUCGGCCACACUGACACUGACAUACGGGUCAGACUCCUACGGGAGGCAGCAGUCGGGAAUUUUGGGCAAUGGGCGAAAGCCUGACCCAGCAACG